Cynoglossus semilaevis (tongue sole) is the source of this 421-nucleotide long non-coding RNA. RefSeq lists it as uncharacterized. The record is from RefSeq and is a predicted model, not a curated record. The transcript is spliced from 3 exons. Lineage: Eukaryota; Metazoa; Chordata; Actinopteri; Pleuronectiformes; Cynoglossidae.
AAGAAGGUCUGCAGGACGUACAUCCUGAAGGCCACGUGAUACGGACGCUGCCAGCUCAGAAUCACCGCCGUUGGACUCAGAGGGUAAACGGCGAGGUCCCGCACACCGGUGGGCUCUGAUGGGCGACAUCACCGCAGGACAGGAUCCAUGCUGCUCUGUUGUCUCCACGGAAACAGGGAUGAAAGCAGAGACGACUCAUUAUGUUUGUCUGAGUCCACGGUUACCAUGGAUACGGAGCUGCGACUGAAGGUUAACGGACACUGAAUCACACGGUCACAUACAGAGCUGGCCCCUGUGCCUUCGUCACGUCAGUGCAUCCUGCAGGACAGAUGGGUGCACAUCGGCUGCCUGCAAGGACUCCAGCAGCCGCUUAAAUGUGGCUUUCUUUCCUCCACGUCGUCUCCACUGGAUCAGGCCGUCC